RNAcentral lists this ribosomal RNA (253 nucleotides) under uncultured bacterium. Its description in RNAcentral is "partial 16S ribosomal RNA". It matches the Rfam family "Bacterial small subunit ribosomal RNA", at positions 524 to 776 of the family's 1533-position model. The record is from RNAcentral.
UACGAGGGGUGCAAGCGUUGCUCGGAAUUACUGGGCGUAAAGCGCACGUAGGCGGCUUUCUAAGUCGGGGGUGAAAUCCUGGAGCUCAACUCCAGAACUGCCUUCGAUACUGGAGAGCUCGAGUCCGGGAGAGGUGAGUGGAACUGCGAGUGUAGAGGUGAAAUUCGUAGAUAUUCGCAAGAACACCAGUGGCGAAGGCGGCUCACUGGCCCGGUACUGACGCUGAGGUGCGAAAGCGUGGGGAGCAAACAGG